This 439-nucleotide ribosomal RNA is filed under the name uncultured prokaryote. RNAcentral's name for it is "partial 16S ribosomal RNA". The record is from RNAcentral.
CCCUAUGGGGUGCGGCACGACCACCCUGUGUAAUCUGAUAACCACCAUCUAUCCGCCCACCCGUGGGAAGAUCGAGAUCAACGGCGAGCCUGCCGAUCCACGAAGACACAAUAUCAGUUUCGUUUUCCAGGAACCUUCCGCUUUUCCGUGGCGUACCAUCUGGGAAAACAUCAAAUUCGGCCUGGAGAUCAAAGAGGGAGAUAAGAGCAAGGAAGAAAUCGAUGAAAGGAUCGGCGAAAUCUUCCGCAUGGUCAAGCUGGACGGCUUCCAGAAGUACUAUCCUCACCAGAUUGCCAUGGGAAUGAGCCAGAGGGUCGCCAUCGCACGGGCGUUCGUCACUCGUCCCGAUUUACUACUCAUGGACGAGCCUUUCGGCCAGUUGGACAUCAAGACCAGGUUCCACAUGAUGGAUGAGAUACUGAGGCUGUGGCGGGGGGGC